Molecule: long non-coding RNA, 1374 nt
Filed under: Olea europaea subsp. europaea
Lineage: Eukaryota; Viridiplantae; Streptophyta; Magnoliopsida; Lamiales; Oleaceae
Source: RNAcentral
CUCUAAUAUCUCUCUCUCUCUCCAAUAAUCUUGUGAAUAUAUUCAUCCAAAUUUCCACUCUCCAAUCUCUCCAAUGGCAAUGAAGAGGUGGUGGAAUAGGUAGAGGGCAAACACCCCUUUGGAAACAGUUUGCAGGCAGCACAGGAAGGGCAAGACGAAGACCUGAUGAAUUGGGAAGCUGAGUAGGUUUCGGAGCUUGCGGCCCAUGCAAAAUAAUUGGAUCCAACAGAGGAAAAGGCACACCAACAGCAAUACAAGACCCAAAUCACAGGCGAACAGAGGCAAUCAUCUCCCAUUCAAUUGACGGUUCCUACAUUUUUCAAUCAACAAAUUCACAUGGAGAAAAUCAAAUCACACUUAAAUGACAGUGGGUACACAUUUUACUGAUCCAAUUGCUACUCAAUUGCCUUGAAUUUUGAUCCCCAGAGUCACGAUUGGGACAGUUCAAUCAAUUGCAAUUUGUGGCCAAAAAUGGUGGUGGUAUUUCUAGUGGUGGUGGUUUUAGGUUGCAAGAUGGACCCAUUUUUUUCUCUGUUCUCUAUUCUUUGGGGAUUUGAGGUGGUGGCAACGAGUUUUGAGGUUUUUGGUUAGGUUGUGGUUGUGGUGGAGAUGGAGGUUGUGAUUGUUGGUGGUUGUGGUGAGGUGUUGGUCUUGUCCCUUGUGGAUUUGAGGUGGUAGCGAUGGCGAGUUUGGGUUUUUUUUUGUUGGGGUGGUGUUUGUGGUAGAGAUGGAGGUUGUAAAUGUUGGUGGUUGUGAUUUUUGUGGUUGUUUUAUGGUGGUUUGUAGUGGAUUUUAAGGUGGUAAUUAUGGGUCACAUAUUAAUGUUCAUGGGUCAAAGAUUAAGGGGGUGUUUGUUUUCCAUUUUUGUAAAAAUGAGAAAGAAAAAUAUAGUCGUUAUGGAUCCCACACAAAAGAUAAAAAUUCAAAUUUGGUGGCUUGAUGUGAUGGAUAACGGUCAUAUUUUUCAUUUUAAUGAAGAAAUAAUGGAAAACAAACAGGGGCUAAAUAAAAUUGAUCACAAAUCGCUGAUUUAUGUUCAUAGGUUAAUAUUGAUUGGUCACAUGUUAUAGUUUAUAAGUUACAAGUCAUAGGUCAUUAUUAAUCGAUCACGAGUUAUUGUUCAUGGGUAACGCGUUAUAACCCAUAGGUCAUUUAUUGUAUAGGUCACAUAUGUUUCCCUUCACAUUCUUUGACUUUCGACAAUCCUUGGAUCGAUGUCAUGCCUUGUCAUAAUUGUAACAGUUGCCUUUAAACUUGUUAGCAGUUUUUGAAGAACUAGUUUGUCAUUCAUCAUUGUGUUUUCUCUUUUUGCUAGUCUUGAAGCCUCCUUCUACAAUGUUGGCUUUUGAUUCCAUCGAAUGAGAUGCACAAUUC